Molecule: unclassified non-coding RNA, 259 nt
Filed under: uncultured fungus
Lineage: Eukaryota; Fungi
Description: sequence contains ITS2
Rfam family: 5.8S ribosomal RNA (bases 1-52)
Source: RNAcentral
AACGCAACUUGCGCUCUCUGGUAUUCCGGAGAGCAUGCCUGUUUGAGUGUCAUGAAAUCUCAACCAUUAGGGUUUCUUAAUGGCUUGGAUUUGGGUGUUGCCAGUCUACUGGCUCGCCUUAAAGGAGUUAGCGAGUUUAACAAUGUCCUCUGGAGUAAUAAGUUUCUCUGGAAAGGCUUGUGAAGUUUGCUUCUAAUCGUCUUCGGACAAUUACUUUGACUCUGGCCUCAAAUCAGGUAGGACUACCCGCUGAACUUAA